RNAcentral lists this ribosomal RNA (414 nucleotides) under Turbocavus secretus. RNAcentral describes it as "bacterial SSU rRNA". It matches the Rfam family "Eukaryotic small subunit ribosomal RNA", at positions 612 to 1011 of the family's 1831-position model. Lineage: Eukaryota; Metazoa; Annelida; Polychaeta; Sabellida; Serpulidae. The record is from RNAcentral.
GCUGCGGUUAAAAAGCUCGUAGUUGGAUCUCAGGUUCGAUUCGGCGGUUCUGUUCACGCAGGUACUGCUGAUGAGGCCUAACCCCCCGGAAGUUAACAAUAACGCAUCGCAGUGGGUUCCCUUAGCUGGGUGCCCGCUGUGGCCGAGGCGUUUACCUUGAAAAAAUUAGAGUGUUCAAGGCAGGUUUGGAAGCUCGAAUAUUUGUGCAUGGAAUAAUGGAACAUGAUCUAGAGGAACUGUUGUGUUGGUCUUUUCGGUACCCAGAUAAUGAUUAAGAAGGACUGCCGGGGGCAUUAGUAUGGCGGGGUUAGAGGUGAAAUUCUUGGAUGCUCGCCAGACUAACAACAGCGAAGGCAUUUGCCAAGGAUGUCUUCAUUAGUCAAGAGCGAAAGUCAGAGGUUCGAAGACGAUCAG